This is a long non-coding RNA of Lolium rigidum, 207 nucleotides long. RefSeq lists it as uncharacterized. The record is from RefSeq and is a predicted model, not a curated record. The transcript has 3 exons. NCBI's taxonomy places the organism in Eukaryota, Viridiplantae, Streptophyta, Magnoliopsida, Poales, Poaceae.
GGUUUUCCUAUUCGUCAAGCUAUACAAGGUCUCUAUUUUGAGUUGUUGCAGCAUGAGAUCAAGUGUCUUGUCUCUACGUGCUGGAUCUGAAGGCCGGAUUAAGGAGGUGCCCAUGCUGUGUAGGAACUUGGAGAGCAUUCAGGGAUAUGAGGAGUGUCGGGUGCCCUUUUGAAUCUCAUUGGUGUUGAAUGUUAUGGGUGAUGGCAG